GGGGAUGAUUAGGAUUCGACGUUGAUUACAAAGCUAUGGGUGCAUGCCGAGAGCGUAUAGCGAUCUCGUUAAUAAACGUUAUACAAAGUUAUAGUCGCAAACGACGAAAACUACGCACUAGCAGCUUAAUCCCUGCUAACCUCCGAAGCUAGGUGCCUGUAACUAGCGGACGAGGGCAUCGCCCUACAGGAUCGCCUGGACGCUUCGCUCGGAGCCGAACGGUUAAAACUCAAUCGAGCUCGUUGGCUACGCCCUGCCUCUUGGGCCGUACUCGACUAAAUCAAUAAAGAAGGCUAAGCAUGUAGAUCCUCUAGUGGAGGAUUGGCGGACGCGGGUUCAAAUCCCGCCAUCUCCACCA
This 358-nucleotide transfer-messenger RNA is filed under the name Pseudomonadales. Its description in RNAcentral is "Kmv21 sp014859445 Standard tmRNA". It matches the Rfam family "transfer-messenger RNA". Rfam says of the family: Bacterial tmRNA, also known as 10Sa RNA or SsrA, is named for its dual tRNA and mRNA-like properties. Its role is to liberate the mRNA from a stalled ribosome. The record is from RNAcentral. RNAcentral also lists the same sequence under 1 other name. Lineage: Bacteria; Pseudomonadati; Pseudomonadota; Gammaproteobacteria.